AUGAACGCUGGCGGCGUGCCUAAUACAUGCCAGUCGAGCGAACGGACGAGAAGCUUGCUUCUCUGAUGUUAGCGGCGGACGGGUGAGUAACACGUGGAUAACCUACCUAUAAGACUGGGAUAACUUCGGGAAACCGGAGCUAAUACCGGAUAAUAUUUUGAACCGCAUGGUUCAAAAGUGAAAGACGGUCUUGCUGUCACUUAUAGAUGGAUCCGCGCUGCAUUAGCUAGUUGGUAAGGUAACGGCUUACCAAGGCAACGAUGCAUAGCCGACCUGAGAGGGUGAUCGGCCACACUGGAACUGAGACACGGUCCAGACUCCUACGGGAGGCAGCAGUAGGGAAUCUUCCGCAAUGGGCGAAAGCCUGACGGAUCAACGCCGCGUGAGUGAUGAAGGUCUUCGGAUCGUAAAACUCUGUUAUUAGGGAAGAACAUAUGUGUAAGUAACUGUGCACAUCUUGACGGUACCUAAUCAGAAAGCCACGGCUAACUACGUG
This 496-nucleotide ribosomal RNA is filed under the name uncultured bacterium. Its description in RNAcentral is "partial 16S ribosomal RNA". It matches the Rfam family "Bacterial small subunit ribosomal RNA", at positions 29 to 507 of the family's 1533-position model. The record is from RNAcentral.